CCGAGUGGAGGGCGCUCCGGCGCCCGACCUCCCAACCCUUUGAUUUGAUCAAGACCUCUUCUGCCUCGGGGGCGACCCGGCCUUCGGGCCGCGGUCCUCCCGGUGGUCACCAACCAAAACUCUGCAUCAAUUGUCGUCUGAGUCACAAGUUAAUUCAAACA
RNAcentral lists this unclassified non-coding RNA (161 nucleotides) under uncultured Ascomycota. RNAcentral's name for it is "sequence contains ITS1". The record is from RNAcentral. Lineage: Eukaryota; Fungi; Ascomycota.